RNAcentral lists this transfer RNA (69 nucleotides) under Mycterothrips gongshanensis. RNAcentral describes it as "tRNA-Pro". The record is from RNAcentral. Lineage: Eukaryota; Metazoa; Arthropoda; Insecta; Thysanoptera; Thripidae.
CAGGAAAUAAUUUAAAAAAAAAAAUAUUAAUUUUGGAGAUUAAAAAUAAAGUAUAUUCUUUUUUCCUGA